This 274-nucleotide ribosomal RNA is filed under the name uncultured bacterium. RNAcentral describes it as "partial 16S ribosomal RNA". It matches the Rfam family "Bacterial small subunit ribosomal RNA", at positions 523 to 796 of the family's 1533-position model. The record is from RNAcentral.
AGACGAACCGGGCGAACGUUAUUCGGAAUCACUGGGCUUAAAGCGUGCGUAGGCGGCUUGGCAAGUUGGGUGUGAAAGCCCUCGGCUCAACCGAGGAACUGCGCCCAAAACUGCCAGGCUUGAGGGAGCUAGAGGUGAGUGGAACUAAUGGUGGAGCGGUGAAAUGCUUUGAUAUCAUUAGGAACACCGGUGGCGAAAGCGGCUCACUGGGUCUCUUCUGACGCUGAGGCACGAAAGCUAGGGGAGCGAACGGAAUUAGAAACCCUAGUAGUCC